GGGCUUAAUAAUUGCCUCCACCACGAGGCCCAAAGAAACCAUAAUAUCCUAUCAGGCCAGCUUAACUGACCCAUGGCUCAAGCCCAGGAAGUAGGCUUGGACCUUAGGUGUUCAAACAAACAUAAAGGCACGACCCUAAGUGGGGAAGCCCAUGAUCUCUGGCCCAGUUUAUAAAAGGCCCAUGAUUGACGGCUAAGGGACAUGUGUCCCAAAUCCCCAGGGGGGCACGCAUCCCGCAGAUAGGGUUGAGGGAUCACUUCCCGAGAAACCCUAGCCUUAUAAAAGGCUCAGAUCCCAAGGUAAGGGGCAAUCAAUUCAUUCCCACCAACCAAAAACUAUCAUUGCUCUGCCUUCUCUCUAUAAAUUACUUCUCUCUCUAGGUUAUACUUACUUAAGCAUCGGAUGGAAUAUUCCUACGGGAAUAUUCUUGUUUUGCAGGUUGCCAGAAAUUCGUGCCAGGUCAUACUUGAUACCUCCGAGGAACGCGUGACACGUCAGCACUGAAAAAGAUCCCACAACACUAUGGGUAGAAUUGAUAGAAUGUUUAUGACAAAAUAAUUGAUAUUGGUAAAUUUGUGUUCAGAAAGUUGAUGCAUCUACUAUUUAGAAGACCGUGAGUAUCUUUGCACCGCCACUAUUUUGAUAUUGGAGCCACAAAGGAAACUUUCCUUGGACACUGAGGUUGCAGCAACGUUACAGCUUUGCCUUGGCUACAUAGUUAAGCUAUCUCCAUUAUGUAUCCUCCUGUUGGUGUUUUUAGGUACUCUCUAUCUGACUUCCUUUGCGUUUCCCCCUUUGAUGCCCAUAUUUUCAUUCUACCCUU
Spinacia oleracea (spinach) is the source of this 823-nucleotide long non-coding RNA. RefSeq lists it as uncharacterized. The record is from RefSeq and is a predicted model, not a curated record. The transcript has 3 exons. Lineage: Eukaryota; Viridiplantae; Streptophyta; Magnoliopsida; Caryophyllales; Amaranthaceae.